ACUCAAAUGAAUAGACGGGCACCCGCACAAGCGGUGGAGCAUGCUGUUUAAUUCGACAAUACGCGAAAAACCUUACCUAGAUUUGACAUCCCGGGCAAAGCUAUAGAAAUAUAGUGGAGGCUAUCCCGGUGACAGAUGGUGCAUGGUCGUCGUCAGCUCGUGUCGUGAGAUGUUUGGUUAAGUCCAACAACGAGCGCAACCCCUAUUCUCAGUUGCUAACAUUUAGUUGAGAACUCUGUGAAUACUGCCGGUGCAAGCCGGAGGAAGGUGGGGAUGAGGUCAGAUCAUCAUGCCUCUUACAUCUAGGGCUACAGGCGUGCUACAAUGGCUGGUACAGCGAGUCGCAACACGGCAACGUGAAGCUAAUCUCUCAAAGCCAGUCCCAGUUCGGAUUGGAGUCUGCAACUCGACUCCAUGAAGUUGGAAUCGCUAGUAAUCCCGAAUCAGAAUGUCGGGGUGAAUACGUUCUCGGGUGUUGCACACACCGCCCGU
RNAcentral lists this ribosomal RNA (492 nucleotides) under uncultured bacterium. RNAcentral describes it as "bacterial SSU rRNA". It matches the Rfam family "Bacterial small subunit ribosomal RNA", at positions 899 to 1397 of the family's 1533-position model. The record is from RNAcentral.